Arachis ipaensis is the source of this 128-nucleotide non-coding RNA. The record is from RefSeq and is a predicted model, not a curated record. Lineage: Eukaryota; Viridiplantae; Streptophyta; Magnoliopsida; Fabales; Fabaceae.
UAUGGUGUGUACAAGCUUGUUGGAAGCAAAACAAAGCCUACUUGAUCACUUUUUCACGGAGCUAGGCAAAAUGGUUCAAAAGCGGUUGUCAUCAUUGCUGAAUGAGGAUCCUGCGAUCAUGAAAAGAU